CCAGAUAGCAUGCGUAGUCGGGCCGAUUCUGGCUGAGUGUCGGCACUGUCGGCUUACUGUCGAUGCGGUAGAAAAUGACGGUAGAGACACAGUGCCGAGCCCGGCAGCCGAUUCGGGCUAACACACGGCUUUGUUCAUGUGGUCCAGCGGUGGCUGAGCACAGUUCCGCCGAUACUUUUUUAUUUCAUGGCAGUAUGAUAUGAUGCCGGAACAGUGCCGAGCCCGGCAGCCGAUUCGGGCUAACACACGGCUUUGUUCAUGUGGUCCAGCGGUGGUUGAGCAGAGUUCCGCCGAUACUUUUUUUAUUUCAUGGCAGUAUGAUAUGAUGCCGGAACAGUGCCGAGCCCGGCAGCCGAUUCGGGCUAACACACGGCUUUGUUCAUGUGGUCCAGCGGUGGUUGAGCAGAGUUCCGCCGAUACUUUUUUAUCUCAUGGCAGUAUGAUAUGAUGCCGGGACAGUACCGAGCCCGGCAGCCGAUUAGGGCUAACACACGGCUUUGUUCAUGUGGUCCAGCGGUAGCUGAGCACAGUUCCGCCGAUAGUUUUUUUUUUAUUUCAUGGCAGUAUGAUAUGACGCCGGGACAGUGCCGAGCCCGACUUCAUGUGGGCCGGCGUCGGUUUGAGGCGCUCAACGAAUCUAAUUUUCCUACAUUUACUCUUUUCUCAGCGGUUGGCAAUCAGUUUUAUACAUGCCCCGGCAUCUGCCUAGGUGAAAUAUGUAUCAGACUUCCCAUUCUUUAUAGGUUCCUUUAAAUCCAGCCUAUUUGUGUUUCCUGUUAAUACCAUUGCUAUUUUUUUCUUGACCUAACUCCCCUGAAUAUUUUUUACAAGGGGGGAAAACAAUGCCAGUUCUUGACUCACAGGUGGACGGUUUUCUAUAAUUUAAUUGUACUGUUUAGCGCUGUAAAAAUAUUGCAAUAACUAUUUUCUCUGCAUGAUUUUUUUUACACAUUGUUAAUUUGUCUUCAUAUAUGCUUAAUUUUCCAUUCUUUCAGGAACAUAUAAACGAAAUAUUCAUAUAUUUAAAUAUAUAUUCAAACUGCAAUGUAAAAAAACUGGGGCAAGUUAAACGAUAGGUAAACGAUAAAUGGGCAGAAACACAUUUGAAAAUUAUGAAAUAUCUCUGUUGCCGGUUUGCUGUUUUAGCGCCGUUUUCCCGGUGCGCUUAAGUACCCUUGAAUGAAACGGAGCUCAGACCAUUGGUCAUAAGCUUAAUUUUCCAGUAUCCUGAUUGGCUGUAAAGUCCGCCAAGACGUCCUGAAACUACAGUUUGCGCUCAUUCUAUCUUAGUCGCAUGACUGGACCGAGUGCACAGAAGUAACCCACACACCAUAUAAGGUACUUUAAAUAUGGAUAGACGUAAGGUUAGGAAAAAAGCUGUGAAAAAAGUGAACAUGUUUCUGGCAUCGCUUAUGAGUGAGGAUACAGAGGGCACUGAGACUGUGAUGGAAGGUUAUCAUACAAUCGGUGAUACCAGUGUAGAUCAAACCUAUCCUUUCUAUCCCAGUCAAUCAGAGAGUGAGGGGGAAACCUCAGGGGAAUUUGAGAGUGAUUAUGCAGGGGGUGAUAUGAGCAGUUUGUCAUUGGUGGGUGCACUGAGUGACUGGGCUGUCCAGUUUGGUGUAUCUUUAGUUGCUUUGUCUGCCCUUCUGGGAAUUCUCAGAAUACACCACCCAUAUCUACCCAAGGAUGCCAGGACCCUACUCAAAACAAAAACCCUGUAUUGUGUGCAGAAUGUGGCUGGUGGUCAUUACUAUUAUUUUGGCAUUUUAAAAACCUUUGGCAAAACAAUGGAGAGGAUGUGGUCUGAAGUUACUGAGAGACAUGUUUUUUUAUUACAGCUCAACGUUGAUGGUCUGCCACUCUUUAAAAGUUCUUGUGUUCAGUUCUGGCCAAUCCUAGGGAUGCUUCGGGGUUGCAUGAAGAAACCAGUUAUUAUUGCACUUUUCUGUGGAACUUCAAAACCGAAUUCCCUAUGUGACUAUUUGAGUGACCUUGUUCAUGAACUUCAGGAGCUAAGCAAGGGGUUCCUGAUCAGUGGAAAACAUUUAUUUCUAACUGUCUCAUCUGUUGUUUGUGAUGCUCCAGCUAGGGCAUAUAUCAAAGGAAUUAAGUCUCAUACUGGUUACUCUGGUUGUGACAAAUGCAUCCAAGAAGGUGUUUAUGUAAACCACAGGAUGACAUUUCCUGAGGUAAAUAGUCCACGUAGAACUGAUUCCUCAUUUAUCAGCUUAUCUGAUGAGGGUCACCAUGUCCAAAGCUCGCCUUUAAAGGAGGCAUCUAUUGGAAUGGUGUCAUGUUUUCCACACGAUUAUAUGCACCUGGUCUGCCUUGGGGUAAUGCGAAAAUUGUUAGAAUUGUGGCUGACUGUAGGACCUCUCUGUUGUCGAGUUACUUCUCAUCAGAGCGAACUAAUCUCAAGUUCACUCAUUAGUAUGAAAGAUUACAUUCCUGUAGACUUUGCUCGGAAACCUAGGAGAUUGUCAGAGAGGCUAAGAUGGAAGGCAACAGAAUUAAGACAAUUCUUGUUGUAUACUGGUCCUGUGGUACUUUCUGGUGUGCUCUCCUUGCCAGUGUACAAAAACUUUAUGUUGUUAUCAGUUGCCAUUUUUAUACUUUCAAGUCCUGUGUUAUGUCAGACUCUGAAUGAUUUUGCCCACCAUCUUCUGGUGUCGUUUGUGGAGCACUUCAGUCAGUUGUAUACUGAACAUGUAGUUUAUAAUGUACAUGGCCUCACUCAUCUAAGUGAAGAUGUGAAAUUGCAUGGAAAUCUGGAUUUAAUAUCUGGAUUUCCUUACGAGAACUACUUAGGGCAGAUUAAGAAAAUGAUUAGAACCCCACAUCAUCCAUUGUCACAGGUCAUACGCAGAAUUUCAGAAAUAAACAGUUGCCCAACAGAUGAUGAAUUAGCACAUGGAAAACAGAUGUUGAGAAAAGAACACAAAGACGGUCCCAUUCCGUCUUCUUUUCAGUUUCACCAAGUUCGUCAGUUUAAAGAAGUAGUCCUAGAUAGUACAACAUUAAAUGUGUUUAAACAUGGAGAUAACUGUGUUAAAAUUGAUGAUUGCAUUGCGUUGGUUGUGAACAUUCUGCAGUCACAAGGCAAAGUUUAUGUUGUCUUUAAGGAAUAUCAGGAGAAGAAAUCAUUUUAUGAGUAUCCUAUAAAUUCGUCUGUACUUGGGAUCUAUGUGGUAGACAAUUUAUCUUUGACUCUCAAAACAGCUGAACUUAAUGUAGAUAAAUAUGUCAGAUUGCCAUACAAAGGCAAAUUUGUUGCAGUGCCCCUCCUGCAUUUGAACAGGUGGAAUUCUGGCAACAACUAAAGUUCCAUCUACAGGAAUUCUGUAUGAAUGUGUGUAGUUAAUGAUAAACUAAAAUUUGGGGUUUGUAGUUUGAAGACACUCCAAAUUAUGUAGUGUUGAUGCUGGUUUGUUAAGAUUUGUAGUUCAUUGAGAUUUGCUGUUAGGCUACGAGGGAAGCUUUUGUGUUUUAUUUAUUGUGCACUCACUGAAGAAAAAGUUAAGUACAUAUAAGUAAUUGUCAGAUUUGGAUGUGAUUUGGUACAUGUGCAGACCAGCCAUGGGACCAGCAGUGUGCCUAUUCUGCCAACUCUGUUGUCUGUGUGAUCUGAUAUUAUAAUCAUUGCAAUACAGUCACAUGACCUUUCACCAUGUCCAGAUUCAUUUCCACCACUCCAUCCAGGUAAUUAACUUUUUUUGUCACUGAGUAUAUUUUGUUUAUUAUCAUCAACAGCUAUGUUCAAAAUUGUGGAGUUUAAGGAGACAAAUGAGGUAGAAUUGGUCCCUGGUGUGUGGGUGAAAGAUGGUGUCUGCCACUGGCCCCCCUAUAAAGGAAAGCAGCUGGAUUCAGCAAUUAAGCAUCAGGUCACUCCAGACCACAGCUGGAUACAGUGGGAAGUCAGAGUGAUGUUUAUAACAGAGAGUUAUGAGGAAGGGAGACGGAAAUUACGGGAAGCUGAACAGCGUUCUGACCUCCAGUCAGAAGCUGAAGAGUCUGGGAAAAAGAAAAGGAGAAAAAUGCCAAGUAGCAGACUUCUAGAUGCCACUAAUGGUGCUUCAAGUGAGAGUGAAGAAGAAGCAGGACUGCAGCAGAGUGACAGACGUCUACCUGAGGCCCCACCAAUCAGCCAAGUUAAAAUUUUAACACCAUUGCAGACUGCUAAUACUGGAAGUCGCAGUACUAUUCCCUGGCUGAAGAAUCCACCCCUCCCUCUGGAAAUGAUGUGGCAACCUACUGAUGCCCUACGUGGAGAGCAUGACCUAAACAAAAACCGUGCAGACUUGUUUUCCUCACCACCACCUCAUCCAGAGCCUUCAAAAGUUCAGAAGUCCUGGAUACCAUCUGAAGUUAAUCAGUUUCACCAAGACCAUGCAAAGACUUGGACACCCCCAUCACAGCUACAAAGGACUCCUGCUGAAG
Molecule: RNA transcript, 4440 nt
Organism: Brienomyrus brachyistius
Lineage: Eukaryota; Metazoa; Chordata; Actinopteri; Osteoglossiformes; Mormyridae
Exons: 5
Source: RefSeq, a predicted model, not a curated record